CCUCCUUUUCUUGGCAGGGAUCAGUCAUGUGGUCCUGGUCCACGUACUGGAAGGAGGUAGGGCAAGGACUCUGGCCCCCUCGGCAUCAUGGCUUCGCUACUGGCAGCUUCCAGUCCCCCAGUUCUAUCCUCCAGUGCCGGGAAAAAA
Hippopotamus amphibius kiboko is the source of this 147-nucleotide small nucleolar RNA. RefSeq annotates it as small nucleolar RNA SNORA57. The record is from RefSeq and is a predicted model, not a curated record. NCBI's taxonomy places the organism in Eukaryota, Metazoa, Chordata, Mammalia, Artiodactyla, Hippopotamidae. The transcript has a single exon.